ACCUACGGGGGGCAGCAGUAGGGAAUCUUCCACAAUGGGCGAAAGCCUGAUGGAGCAACGCCGCGUGGGUGAGGAAGGUCUUCGGAUCGUAAAACCCUGUUGUUAGAGAAGAAAGUGCGUGAGAGUAACUGUUCACGUUUCGACGGUAUCUAACCAGAAAGCCACGGCUAACUACGUGCCAGCAGCCGCGGUAAUACGUAGGGGGCAAGCGUUAUCCGGAAUUAUUGGGCGUAAAGGAAACGCAGGCGGUCUUUUAAGUCUGAUGUGAAAGCCUUCGGCUUAAACGGAGUAGUGCAUUGGAAACU
This 305-nucleotide ribosomal RNA is filed under the name uncultured bacterium. RNAcentral describes it as "bacterial SSU rRNA". It matches the Rfam family "Bacterial small subunit ribosomal RNA", at positions 337 to 634 of the family's 1533-position model. The record is from RNAcentral.